GGGCCAUUAGCUCAGUUGGUUAGAGCAACCGGCUCAUAACCGGUCGGUCCUGGGUUCGAGUCCCCGAUGGCCCA
Molecule: transfer RNA, 74 nt
Filed under: Hydrogenoanaerobacterium saccharovorans
Lineage: Bacteria; Bacillati; Bacillota; Clostridia; Eubacteriales; Oscillospiraceae
Also listed under: 3 other names
Rfam family: tRNA
About the family: Transfer RNA (tRNA) molecules are approximately 80 nucleotides in length. Their secondary structure includes four short double-helical elements and three loops (D, anti-codon, and T loops).
Source: Rfam by way of RNAcentral